Molecule: ribosomal RNA, 439 nt
Filed under: uncultured bacterium
Lineage: Bacteria
Description: partial 16S ribosomal RNA
Rfam family: Bacterial small subunit ribosomal RNA
Source: RNAcentral
CUACGGGACGCUGCAGUGGGGAAUAUUGGACAAUGGGCGCAAGCCUGAUCCAGCCAUGCCGCGUGAGUGAUGAAGGCCCUAGGGUUGUAAAGCUCUUUCACCGGAGAAGAUAAUGACGGUAUCCGGAGAAGAAGCCCCGGCUAACUUCGUGCCAGCAGCCGCGGUAAUACGAAGGGGGCUAGCGUUGUUCGGAAUUACUGGGCGUAAAGCGCACGUAGGCGGAUCGAUCAGUCAGGGGUGAAAUCCCAGGGCUCAACCCUGGAACUGCCUUUGAUACUGUCGAUCUGGAGUAUGGAAGAGGUGAGUGGAAUUCCGAGUGUAGAGGUGAAAUUCGUAGAUAUUCGGAGGAACACCAGUGGCGAAGGCGGCUCACUGGUCCAUUACUGACGCUGAGGUGCGAAAGCGUGGGGAGCAAACAGGAUUAGAUACCCCCGUAGUC